UGGUAAAAGCAAGCAACAUAACAAAUUAAUUUUCAAAGCUCGAUUUACUUCAUUGUAAAAACUACUUAAAAUGACUAGUAAAGUUGCCAUUUAUUGUCUUCUUCUUGUAGUCUUGAUUGGAUUGGUAUCGGCAGCUCCACAGAACGGAGUUGAGUACGGAUAUGAAGUUGAGUGUGUAGAGACAACGUAUUACGAUGGAUCGCGAAAGUCAAAGUGGUCGAUUUCUGGUAAUAAAAUCCGACUCCCGUCCGGAUGGAGAAAUAGUGGGUCAGCUGCCAGCUCGGUCCCUGGCGAUGGGAAAUUUUCGAUGAAAUAUAGUUGGUAUCAACUGGAUCAAUCGGCUCCUGCUCGUGGUGCUGGAGGAUCAGGAUCACUCUGCUGAUUCAACUAAAAUUCGACUAAAAAAACAAAAUGAUUAAUUUUUUUAUAAUUGAUUGAUAAUGCACGAUUCAGCUGUCUACACUAAAAGAAAGACAUAUAAAAAUCUUACAAAA
Molecule: long non-coding RNA, 494 nt
Organism: Daphnia pulicaria
Lineage: Eukaryota; Metazoa; Arthropoda; Branchiopoda; Diplostraca; Daphniidae
Exons: 2
Source: RefSeq, a predicted model, not a curated record